CAGUAGCCGCGGUAAUACGAAGGGGGCUAGCGUUGCUCGGAAUUACUGGGCGUAAAGGGCGCGUAGGCGGACAGUUAAGUUGGGGGUGAAAGCCCGGGGCUCAACCUCGGAAUUGCCUUCAAUACUGGCUGUCUUGAGUAUGAGAGAGGUGUGUGGAACUCCGAGUGUAGAGGUGAAAUCCGUAGAUAUUCGGAAGAACACCAGUGGCGAAGGCGACACACUGGCUCAUUACUGACGCUGAGGCGCGACAGCGUGGGGAGCAAACAGGAUUAGAUACCCGCGUAGUCCCUGUCUCUUAUAC
This 301-nucleotide ribosomal RNA is filed under the name uncultured bacterium. RNAcentral describes it as "partial 16S ribosomal RNA". It matches the Rfam family "Bacterial small subunit ribosomal RNA", at positions 509 to 807 of the family's 1533-position model. The record is from RNAcentral.